AACAGGAUUAGAUACCCUGGUAGUCCACGCCGUAAACGAUGUCGACUAGCCGUUGGGAGCCUCGAGUUCUUAGUGGCGCAGUUAACGCGAUAAGUCGACCGCCUGGGGAGUACGGCCGCAAGGUUAAAACUCAAAUGAAUUGACGGGGGCCCGCACAAGCGGUGGAGCAUGUGGUUUAAUUCGAUGCAACGCGAAGAACCUUACCUACCCUUGACAUCCUGCGAACCCGGAAGAGAUUCCGGGGUGCCUUCGGGAGCGCAGAGACAGGUGCUGCAUGGCUGUCGUCAGCUCGUGUUGUGAAAUGUUGGGUUAAGUCCCGUAACGAGCGCAACCCCUGUCCCUAUUUGCCAGCGAUUCGGUCGGGAACUCUAGGGAGACUGCCGGUGACAAACCGGAGGAAGGUGGGGACGACGUCAAGUCAUCAUGGCCCUUACGGGUAGGGCUACACACGUGCUACAAUGGCAGGUACAAAGGGUUGCGAGACGGCGACGUGGAGCGAAUCCCAUAAAGCCUGCCUCAGUUCGGAUCGGAGUCUGCAACUCGACUCCGUGAAGUCGGAAUCGCUAGUAAUCGUGAAUCAGAAUGUCACGGUGAAUACGUUCCCGGGCCUUGUACACACCGCCCGUCACACCAUGGGAGUGGACUGCACCAGAAGUGGUUAGCUUAACCUUCGGGAGAGCGAUCACCACGGUGUGGUUCAUGACUGGGGUGAAGUCGUAACAAGGUAACC
This 730-nucleotide ribosomal RNA is filed under the name uncultured bacterium. Its description in RNAcentral is "bacterial SSU rRNA". It matches the Rfam family "Bacterial small subunit ribosomal RNA", at positions 771 to 1501 of the family's 1533-position model. The record is from RNAcentral.